AAGGAUUUUUCACAUUAAAUAUGUGUGUUUGAUCAGUCAAUUUUCCUAAUAAGUGGUAUUAAGCAAUGGACUAGAAGAGGGAUGAAGAAAGGAGAGGGAGGGAUAUGGACUAAGCCAAGACGGUGACGUCCAAACUCUGCAAAGAACUACAUAUUAGGAUGUCAGUGUGUUAGGAAAAUUACCGAAUAACGACGACAUGAACUUUUUACAUAGAAACCCUUACAUGCGCUAUCCAGAAAUAACCAUUACGAGGAUAAAGGUUACGACGCAGAGAAAUAGCAACAUAGCAUCACACAUUUUUCGUACAUGUUAAAAGAAAUACAUAAAAGAGAAAUCUAAGAGUACUAAAGACACGUGCAAACAUGUUUAUUAGUUCAGUCUUUCCAUUGCCACAAUGCCACAAAAAAAAAUGGUGAUAUAGAGUACAGAGAGGGAAGAGAAGAGAAAAAUGAUUGUUAUGCAUCACAAGCUCAGAGUCAACUUCUAGUAUCUAUCGAAGAAAAUUUUGUUGCAUGAGGUGCAUAAAAAAGAAAAAUAUGAUAAUAAAGAGAUAUUGUGUUAUAUUAAUUAAUCCAUUAAUAUACCAUGUGUACCUCUACCUUUGUAUAUAUAUUUAUAAGAUAAGUUCUUGCUAUUGACAUGGAUAAGAGAAUAGCUAGUCGCAAACUCUACCUUUCAACAUAUUCCAGUAAGAAAAAUCUGCCAGUCAAUAGAAAGCUCUAAGACUUAAUUAAAAAAAUAGAAAUUAUAUUAUAAAUUAAUACCAUAAUCUCAAUAUAUCUAACACAAGGUUAAGGUGUUUUACCAUAUGCUUUUACGGGUAAAUAGUUCAUUUAGUUUUCUUUCUAAUUCUAUAGAUCAUACUAUAUCAAUUAUUAACUACAUAAUAUUUUCUAGCGGUAGUAGAACUCUAAACCAAUAGUUGAAAUUAUUCUACUAAUGAUAAUACUACCUGGUAUUAGAAUAGUGCAUCAUAAGAAGCUACCACCGUGUAGUUGAGAGCGCGCGGAUGACCUGGAAAGCAUUGCUAGGCAACCCAGCAAACAAUGUUCUCCGAUGACCCGCACGUCAGUAGUUGUGGACUCAUCACUCAUGCGGCCAUGCCGUCGUGCGGUGGUAGCCUGGUAGGCACCGAUCGACGACGACGACGAGAACAGAUGAACACUUCGAUCGCUACCAGCAAAGUGUUUUUUUUUUUUUUCAUUUCAAUGGGCCUGCAAGCUGCAAAAGCCUCGUACCGGUAAACAAAUUAAGAACCAUGCUGGAAGGCCGAAAAAAGCCAUUGCCUUCAAAACGAUAGCAGCAGCAGCAAAUGAUCCA
This 1320-nucleotide long non-coding RNA is filed under the name Oryza brachyantha (malo sina). Its description in RNAcentral is "long non-coding RNA (OBRA_LNC000617)". The record is from RNAcentral. Lineage: Eukaryota; Viridiplantae; Streptophyta; Magnoliopsida; Poales; Poaceae.